This 464-nucleotide ribosomal RNA is filed under the name uncultured bacterium. RNAcentral describes it as "bacterial SSU rRNA". It matches the Rfam family "Bacterial small subunit ribosomal RNA", at positions 114 to 554 of the family's 1533-position model. The record is from RNAcentral.
CACGUGGGUAAUCUACCUUGGAGUUUGGGAUAACCCGGGGAAACCCGGGCUAAUACCGGAUACGGCCCGACGAUCUUCGGAUCGACGGGAGAAAGAGGGCCACUACUUGUAAGCUCUCGCUCCUCGAUGAGCCCGCGGUCCAUUAGCUUGUUGGUGAGGUAACGGCUCACCAAGGCUCUGAUGGGUAGCUGAUCUGAGAGGAUGAUCAGCCACACUGGAACUGAGACACGGUCCAGACUCCUACGGGAGGCAGCAGUGGGGAAUUUUGGUCAAUGGGCGAAAGCCUGAACCAGCAACGCCGCGUGCAGGAUGAAGGCCCUCGGGUCGUAAACUGCUGUCAGGAGGGAAGAACGGUCGAGUAGUUAAUACCUAUUCGGCGUGACGGUACCUCCAAAGGAAGCAACGGCUAACUCCGUGCCAGCAGCCGCGGUAAUACGGAGGGUGCAAGCGUUGUUCGGAAUUAC